Molecule: ribosomal RNA, 481 nt
Filed under: uncultured bacterium
Lineage: Bacteria
Description: partial 16S ribosomal RNA
Rfam family: Bacterial small subunit ribosomal RNA
Source: RNAcentral
GACGAACGUUGGCGGCGUGCUUAAUACAUGCAAGUCAACUGAAGCAGUGGUAGCAAUAUCGCUGUGGAGGUGGCGCACGGGUGAGUAACACGUAGGUAAUCUGCCUUCAGGUCUGGCAUAACUCCGGGAAACCGGGGCUAAUAGCAGGUGAUGCAGCGGCUCGACAUCGAGACAGUUGUUAAAGCUAUGGCGCCUGAAGAUGAGCCUGCGUCUGAUUAGCUAGUUGGCGGGGUAACGGCCCACCAAGGCAACGAUCAGUAGCUGGUCUGAGAGGAUGAUCAGCCACACUGGAACUGAGACACGGUCCAGACUCCUACGGGAGGCAGCAGUAAGGAAUAUUGCUCAAUGGGAGAAAUCCUGAAGCAGCAACGCCGCGUGAGGGACGAAGGGCUUUUGCUUGUAAACCUCUGUAGUGAGAGAAAAAAAUCCCAAUCUUUGGGACAUGAUGGUAUCUCAAAAGUAAGCCCCGGCUAACUACGUG